GGUGGUUCUCGGGUGAUGCACCCUGAACUCGGGCUCCCUCCUUUCUGGUUCCGGGUGCGUUACACAAGAACCACA
Molecule: non-coding RNA, 75 nt
Organism: Myotis brandtii (Brandt's bat)
Lineage: Eukaryota; Metazoa; Chordata; Mammalia; Chiroptera; Vespertilionidae
Source: Rfam